Molecule: transfer RNA, 361 nt
Filed under: uncultured Microcystis sp.
Lineage: Bacteria; Bacillati; Cyanobacteriota; Cyanophyceae; Chroococcales; Microcystaceae
Description: partial 16S-23S ribosomal RNA intergenic spacer
Rfam family: tRNA (bases 136-209)
Source: RNAcentral
AAAGGGAGACCUAAUUCCGGUAGGAGACGAAAAAAAAGUAGUCCCAACCAAGAAUCAAUCCCAAAAGGUCGGAGCGAGGCGAAAUUGGCUUUCAAACUAGGUUCUGGGUUCACACAAGACCUGAAUCAGGAACAAGGGCUAUUAGCUCAGGUGGUUAGAGCGCACCCCUGAUAAGGGUGAGGUCCCUGGUUCGAGUCCAGGAUGGCCCACCUGCACAGGUGGCAAAAACAAGAGAAGCGAGGAAUCAGCACCCUAUCUUACUUAUAUAGUAAGAGAGAAUGCUGGCUCUGAGUAAAGAGUCCAGAGGAACCUUGAAAACUGCAUAGAGCUAGGUGAAAAAGCCAAAAAAGAAGACCGCAAG